This 484-nucleotide ribosomal RNA is filed under the name uncultured bacterium. Its description in RNAcentral is "partial 16S ribosomal RNA". It matches the Rfam family "Bacterial small subunit ribosomal RNA", at positions 30 to 507 of the family's 1533-position model. The record is from RNAcentral.
AUUGAACGCUGGCGGCAGGCCUAACACAUGCAAGUCGAGCGGAUGAAGGGAGCUUGCUCCUGGAUUCAGCGGCGGACGGGUGAGUAAUGCCUAGGAAUCUGCCUGGUAGUGGGGGAUAACGUCCGUAAACGGGCGCUAAUACCGCAUACGUCCCGAGGGAGAAAGUGGGGGAUCUUCGGACCUCACGCUAUCAGAUGAGCCUAGGUCGGAUUAGCUAGUUGGUGGGGUAAAGGCCUACCAAGGCGACGAUCCGUAACUGGUCUGAGAGGAUGAUCAGUCACACUGGAACUGAGACACGGUCCAGACUCCUACGGGAGGCAGCAGUGGGGAAUAUUGGACAAUGGGCGAAAGCCUGAUCCAGCCAUGCCGCGUGUGUGAAGAAGGUCUUCGGAUUGUAAAGCACUUUAAGUUGGGAGGAAGGGCAGUAAGUUAAUACCUUGCUGUUUUGACGUUACCAACAGAAUAAGCACCGGCUAACUUCGUG